UCUUGACGAUGCGGUUGCCCCGCGCCCUUUUCCAGCC
RNAcentral lists this non-coding RNA (37 nucleotides) under Mycobacterium tuberculosis. Lineage: Bacteria; Bacillati; Actinomycetota; Actinomycetes; Mycobacteriales; Mycobacteriaceae. The record is from RNAcentral.